UGACACACCACCAUUCUGGCCG
This 22-nucleotide microRNA is filed under the name anatid alphaherpesvirus 1. Its description in RNAcentral is "dev-miR-D6-5p". Its record names the gene dev-miR-D6-5p. Lineage: Duplodnaviria; Heunggongvirae; Peploviricota; Herviviricetes; Herpesvirales; Orthoherpesviridae. The record is from miRBase by way of RNAcentral.